This 949-nucleotide ribosomal RNA is filed under the name uncultured Prevotella sp. RNAcentral's name for it is "bacterial SSU rRNA". It matches the Rfam family "Bacterial small subunit ribosomal RNA", at positions 544 to 1501 of the family's 1533-position model. Lineage: Bacteria; Pseudomonadati; Bacteroidota; Bacteroidia; Bacteroidales; Prevotellaceae. The record is from RNAcentral.
UCCGGAAUUUUUGGGGUUUAAAGGGAGCGUAGGCCUGGGGAUUAAGUGUUUUUGUGAAAUGUAGACCGUUCAACGUCUGACUUGCAGGCGCAUACUGGUUUCCGGGAGUACGCACAACGUUGGCGGAAUUCGUCGUGUAGCGGUGAAAUGCUUAGAUAUGACGAAGAACUCCGAUUGCGAAGGCAGCUGACGGGAGCGCCACUGACGCUUAAGCUCGAAGGUGCGGGUAUCGAACAGGAUUAGAUACCCUGGUAGUCCGCACAGUAAACGAUGGAUGCCCGCUGUUGGUACCUGGUAUCAGCGGCUAAGCGAAAGCAUUAAGCAUCCCACCUGGGGAGUACGCCGGCAACGGUGAAACUCAAAGGAAUUGACGGGGGCCCGCACAAGCGGAGGAACAUGUGGUUUAAUUCGAUGAUACGCGAGGAACCUUACCCGGGCUUGAAUUGCAGAGGCAGGAUUUAGAGAUAAUGACGCCCUUCGGGGUCUCUGUGAAGGUGCUGCAUGGUUGUCGUCAGCUCGUGCCGUGAGGUGUCGGCUUAAGUGCCAUAACGAGCGCAACCCCUCUCUUCAGUUGCCAUCAGGUAAUGCUGGGCACUCUGGAGACACUGCCACCGUAAGGUGUGAGGAAGGUGGGGAUGACGUCAAAUCAGCACGGCCCUUACGUCCGGGGCUACACACGUGUUACAAUGGCCGGUACAGAGGGACGGUGCAAUGCAAGUUGCAUCCAAUCUUGAAAGCCGGUCCCAGUUCGGACUGGGGUCUGCAACCCGACCCCACGAAGCUGGAUUCGCUAGUAAUCGCGCAUCAGCCAUGGCGCGGUGAAUACGUUCCCGGGCCUUGUACACACCGCCCGUCAAGCCAUGAAAGCCGGGGGUGCCUGAAGUCCGUGACCGGAAGGAUCGGCCUAGGGCAAAACUGGUGAUUGGGGCUAAGUCGUAACAAGGUAACC